This 327-nucleotide ribosomal RNA is filed under the name Triticum aestivum (bread wheat). RNAcentral's name for it is "partial small subunit ribosomal RNA". Lineage: Eukaryota; Viridiplantae; Streptophyta; Magnoliopsida; Poales; Poaceae. The record is from RNAcentral.
AUGGGGCUAGCAGCAGCAACAGCCUCUGCGCGCCAUGCUCGUGGCCAAGCUCCGCCUUCGGCGCUGCCCGGCCUCCCUUCUCCUGCCCUCAGCCGCACCACCUACUCGCCUGUUGUGGCCCUACGGCCGCUGCCGCUGUGUGCCGCACAUGCACUGCUGUCCGCCAUUGCGCCGCUGCUGUCCACCGCCGUCGCCCCCCUUGAACACCUCUCGAUGGCAAAGACGAAAACUGGCGAGGAGGGGGAGGAGGAUCACGCCACUGGGAGGGCAUGCGAUGGCAAGCCGGAGGUGCAGCGCCCGGUUGAGGAUGAGGUGAUCCGAUUGUGA